RNAcentral lists this ribosomal RNA (207 nucleotides) under uncultured bacterium. Its description in RNAcentral is "partial 16S ribosomal RNA". It matches the Rfam family "Bacterial small subunit ribosomal RNA", at positions 568 to 774 of the family's 1533-position model. The record is from RNAcentral.
CGCGUAGGCGGGAUGGCAAGUCGGUCGUGAAAUCCCUCGGCUCAACUGAGGAAGGUCGAUCGAUACUGCCGUUCUUGAGGAUUGCAGAGGAGACUGGAAUUCCCGGUGUAGCGGUGAAAUGUGUAGAGAUCGGGAGGAACACCGGUGGCGAAGGCGGGUCUCUGGGCAAUUCCUGACGCUGAGGCGCGAAAGCGUGGGGAGCAAACG